This 535-nucleotide ribosomal RNA is filed under the name uncultured Dokdonella sp. RNAcentral's name for it is "bacterial SSU rRNA". It matches the Rfam family "Bacterial small subunit ribosomal RNA", at positions 340 to 860 of the family's 1533-position model. The record is from RNAcentral. Lineage: Bacteria; Pseudomonadati; Pseudomonadota; Gammaproteobacteria; Lysobacterales; Rhodanobacteraceae.
UACGGGACGCCGCAGUGGGGAAUAUUGCACAAUGGGCGCAAGCCUGAUCCACCCAUGCCGCGUGUGUGAAGAAGCCCUUCGGGUUGUAAACCACUUUUGUUGGGGAAGAAACCGUCCGGAUUAAUCCUUCGUGCGGAUCACGGUACCCAAAGAAUAAGCCCCGGCUAACUUCGUCCCCGCAGCCGCGGUAAUACGAAGGGCGCAAGCGUUUCUCGGAAUUACUGGGCGUAAAGCGUGCGCAGGCGGUUCGUUAAGUCUGCUGUGAAACCCCUGGGCUCACCCUGGGAAUGCCAGUGGAUACUGGCCAGCUAGAGUACGGUAGAGGAAGGUGGAAUUCCCGGUGUACCGGUGAAAUGCGUAGAGAUCGGGAGGACCACCAGUGGCGAAGGCGACCUUCUGGACCAGUACUGCCGCUCAUGCACGAAAGCGUGGGGAGCAAAACAGGAUUAGAUACCCCUGGUAGUCCACGCCCUAAACCGAUGNAAAGGUGGAUGUUGGGCACACUUUGGUGCUCAGUGUNCGAAAGCUAACGCGU